RNAcentral lists this transfer RNA (68 nucleotides) under Marmota monax (woodchuck). Its description in RNAcentral is "tRNA.Ala". It matches the Rfam family "tRNA". Rfam says of the family: Transfer RNA (tRNA) molecules are approximately 80 nucleotides in length. Their secondary structure includes four short double-helical elements and three loops (D, anti-codon, and T loops). Further hydrogen bonds mediate the characteristic L-shaped molecular structure. tRNAs have two regions of fundamental functional importance: the anti-codon, which is responsible for specific mRNA codon recognition, and the 3' end, to which the tRNAs corresponding amino acid is attached (by aminoacyl-tRNA synthetases). tRNAs cope with the degeneracy of the genetic code in two manners: having more than one tRNA (with a specific anti-codon) for a particular amino acid; and 'wobble' base-pairing, i.e. permitting non-standard base-pairing at the 3rd anti-codon position. Lineage: Eukaryota; Metazoa; Chordata; Mammalia; Rodentia; Sciuridae. The record is from RNAcentral.
GGAUUAUAGCUCAGGGGCAGAGCGCUUGCCUGGCAUGUGUGAGGCACUGGGUUCGAUUCCCAGCUCCA